Long non-coding RNA from Sapajus apella (tufted capuchin), 1320 nucleotides. RefSeq lists it as uncharacterized. NCBI's taxonomy places the organism in Eukaryota, Metazoa, Chordata, Mammalia, Primates, Cebidae. The transcript is spliced from 3 exons. The record is from RefSeq and is a predicted model, not a curated record.
UAAUUUUUUUAAAGGGAUGAAUUACCACAUUUUGUUUAUAAUUAUAAGGAUCAAUGGCUGCUUCAGGCCCCCCGUAAAGCCAAGAGUCCAUUUGCUGAGAAAUAGAAACAGAAAACUAAGCUGAUUUGCCUGGAGAACUUCUACAGGCUAAUGGUUUGAGAGAGGUUUUAUCUCUCUAACGAGUGUAAUAUUAAAAUUAGGUGGGUUCAAGAGGGUUUAUUUUUGCAGUAUUUGAACUAAAUAUAUAUAGACAUCUGCAAAUGCCAAUCAUAUAACUUAUGUGGGCACAAUGAGUUGUUUGUGCUAACACAUAUGCUGACAGCAUUUGUUUUAUGCACCUGCUUCUUCUCCAGCUCCAGUUUGCUUCGAUCAUUUUGAUUUUGUUUUAAUGUGCAGGCGUCUGCUGAAGUGUCACCACUUAAAGAGCAUCUGGGCUUGUAUGGGUUUUCAAACUGAAUCCACAUUUUAACAGUUUCUCACCUCUCUAUCUGGAUUAGAAAAUUACCGACAUCAUGGUACAAAGAAGAUGAUAAACUAUAAUCACGAAACGUCAGAUGAAAACACAAGCCUCCAGGAAAGCUGCAGCCAACCAAUUUCACAAGCUUGUUCCAGGAAUGCCUGACCCAGGGUAACUUGAAAAUCAGCACCCCGUAAGUGGGACUCAAAGAAAAAAAAACAGCAACGAUCACCACCAACAAGAAGUCUGUUUUUAUCCCUGUGAGCUACAAGUCUCCAUGACUGAUGAUUUCGCUGAUGGGAACUUCUGGUAAAGAGAAGCAGUCUUUAUCUAGAGGUGCUCCCGGGGAUUUUGGUCUUGUUUACCUCACUGACAUGGAUACCAGGUACAUUUCUAUUGAAAAGUAGCAAUUAACUUGCUAUCUGGCUCUUGUCAACAUUGAAUGCCUAAUUCAUGGAGACUUUGGGAUUUCCAGUCUGACAUUCUUAUUUUGGGGGUCAACUUGGACUCAACCACUAACAAGCUGUGAAGAGCCCAAUAACCUUUGUUUGUCAAAUAGAUACAGUAUAUUCGAUAAUGCAGCCACCCUGGCCCCAGUAGCAUCUCAGCUUUGCUUGAAAAACUGGCAGGUAAUCCUCUGGGAAAAACUAUCUCCUCUAGUCUACCAUUUGAAACAAAAUCACUGGCUCAACAGGGCCUUCAGUUCACAAAAUUUUCCCCGAGAAGUUAGCAAACUAUAGCCUGCAGGCUGGCCACUUUUUUUUUUUUUUUAAAUAAAUAAAACAAAACUAUGUUUUUCAUGAUAAAAAUAAACAGUGCAAAGAAGCAUAUGAGGGAACACAUUUAAAAAUAUUCUUUUAAUA